Long non-coding RNA from Astyanax mexicanus (Mexican tetra), 2815 nucleotides. RefSeq lists it as uncharacterized. The transcript has 3 exons. NCBI's taxonomy places the organism in Eukaryota, Metazoa, Chordata, Actinopteri, Characiformes, Acestrorhamphidae. The record is from RefSeq and is a predicted model, not a curated record.
GGGGUUGUUGCUAAGGUGUUUCUAAGUGGUUGCUAGGUGGUUGCUAAGGUGUUGCUAUGGUAUCUGGGGUGGUUGCUAAGGUGUUUCUAGGUGGUUGCUAGGUGGUUGCUAAGGUGUUGCUAUGGUAUCCGGGGUGGUUGCUAAGAUGUUGCUAGGUGGUUGCUAAGGUGUUGCUAUGGUAUCUGGGAUGGUUGCUAAGGUGUUGCUAGGUGGUUGCUAGGCAGUUGCUAAGGUGUUGCUAUGGUAUCCUGGGUGGUUGCUAAGGUGUUUCUAGGUGGUUGCUAAGGUGUUGCUAGGUGGUUGCUAAGGUGUUGCUAGGUGGUUGCUAAGGUGUUGCUAUGGUAUCCGGGGUGGUUGCUAAGGUGUUGCUAGGUGGUUGCUAGGCGGUUGCUUAAGUGUUGCUAUGGUAUCCGGGGUGGAUGCUAUGGUGUGGUUGCUAAGGUGUUGCUAGGUGGUUGCUAAGGUGUUGCUAUGGUAUCCAGGGUGGUUGCUAAGGUGUUGCUAGGUGGUUGCUAAGGUGUUGCUAUGGUAUCCUGGGUGGUUGCUAAGGUGUUUCUAGGUGGUUGCUAAGGUGUUGCUAGGUGGUUGCUAAGGUGUUGCUAUGGUAUCCAGGGUGGUUGCUAAGGUGUUGCUAGGUGGUUGCUAGGUGGUUGCUAGGGUGUUGCUAGGUGGUUGCUAAGGUGUUGCUAGGUGGUUGCUAAGGUGUUGCUAUGGUAUCCAGGGUGGUUGCUAAGGUGUUGCUAGGUGGUUGCUAAGGUGUUGCUAGGUGGUUGCUAAGGUGUUGCUAUGGUAUCCGGGGUGGUUGCUAAGGUGUUGCUAGGUGGUUGCAAGGUGGUUGCUAAGGUGUUGCUAGGUGGUUGCUAAGGUGUUGCUAUGGUGUCUAGGGUGGUUGCUAAGGUGUUGCUAGGUGGUUGCUAAGAUGUUGCUAUGGUAUCUGGGGUGGUUGCUAAGGUGUUGCUAGGUGUAUCUAACUGGUCGCUAGGCAGUUGCUACCAUUUCUAAAGUGGUUGCUAAGCAGUUGCUAGGCAGUUGCUAACGUUUUCCAGGUGGUUGCUAAGGUGUUGCUAGGUGGUUGCUAAGAUGUUGCUAUGGUAUCUGGGGUGGUUGCUAAGGUGUUGCUAGGUGUAUCUAACUGGUCGCUAGGCAGUUGCUACCAUUUCUAAAGUGGUUGCUAAGCAGUUGCUAGGCAGUUGCUAACGUUUUCCAGGUGGUUGCUAAGGUGUUGCUAUCUGGUUGCUAGGCAGUUGCUAACGUAUUACACAUGGUUGCUAAGUGGUUGCUAGGCAGUUGCUAAUGUUUUCCAGGUGGUUGCUAAGGUGUAUCUAACUGGUUCCUAGGCAGUAGUAGAUAAAAAGAAAGAGUGUUAAAUGUAGAAGUACAGAAAAAGGGAGAGCCUGAAAUAGAGAAGUAGAGAGAAAAUCAGCGUGAGAAGUAGAGAAAGAACACCCGAGAAUGUGAGAAAAAGAGUGACAAGUAGAGAGAAAUAUUGAGCGAGAGAAAGAGAAUUAGGGAAAAAGAGAGAUCGAGAAAUAAAGAAGUAGAGAAAGAAAAAGGAUGUAGUAGAGAGAUAGAUAGAAAGAGAAAGCAAGACAGAAAAGUAGAGUGAAAGAGAAGUAGAGAGAAGAGCGAGAAAUAAAGAGAGAGUAAGAGAGAAAUAGAGAAAUAGAAAAGUAGAAAGAAAGAGACAUAGAAAAGUAGAGAGAGUGAGAAAGAGAGAGUGAGAAAUAGAGAAGUAGAGAGAGAGUGAGAAAGAGAGAGUGAGAAAUAGAGAAGUAUAGAGAGUGAGAAAUAGAGACGUAGAGAGAGAGUGAGAAAGAGAGUGAGAAAUAGAGAAGUAGUGAGAGAGUGAGAAAUAGAGACGUAGAGAGAGAGUGAAAAAGAGAGUGAGAAAUAUAGAAGUAGAGAGAGUGAGAAAUAAAGAGAAAUAGAGACGUAGAGAGAGAGUGAAAAAGAGAGUGAGAAAUAUAGAAGUAGAGAGAGAGUGAGAAAUAGAGACGUAGAGAGAGAGUGAGAAAUAGAGACGUACAGAGAGAGUGAGAAAGAGUGAGAAAUAGAGAAGUAGAGAGAGUGAGUAAUAGAGACGUAGAAAAGAGUGAGAAAGAGAGAGUGAGAAAUAGAGAAGUAGAGAGUGAGAAAUAGAGACAUAGAGAGAGAGUGAGAAAUAGAGAAGUAGAGAGCAAAAGAGAGAGUGAGAAGGAGAGAGCAAAAGAGAGAGUGAGACAGAGAAGUAGAGAGCAAACGAGAGAGUGAGAAGUAGAGAAGUAGAGAGCAAAAGAAAGAGUGAGAAAUAGAGAAGUAGAGAGAGAGUGGGAAAGAUAGAGUGAGAAUUAGAGAAGUAGAGAGAGAGUGAGAAAGAGAGAGUGAGAUAGAGAAGUAGAGAGAGAGUGAGAAAUAGAGACGUAGAGAGAGUGAGAAAGAGAGAGUGAGAUAGAGAAGUAGAGAGAGAGUGAGAAAUAGAGUGAGAUAGAGAAGUAGAGAGAGUGAGAAAUAGAGUGAGAAAUAGAGACGUAGAGAGAGAGUGAGAAAGAGAGUGAGAAAUAGAGGAGUAGAGAGCAAAAGAGAGUGAGAAAUAGAGAAGUAGAGAGCAAAAGAGAGAGUGAGAAGUAGAGAAGUAGAGAGCAAAAGAAAGAGUGAGAAAUAUAGAAAUAGAGAGAGAGUGGGAAAGAGAGUGAGAAUUAGAGAAGUAGAGAGCGAAAGAGAGAGUGAGAAAGAGAGAGUGGUUGCUAAGCAGUUAAUAGGUGGUUGCUAAACCCUGGCUGGGGUGCCGGGGUGUCCAAACUUUUGACUGAUAGCUGCUCCAUACAGCAGCUCCUCC